This 255-nucleotide ribosomal RNA is filed under the name uncultured bacterium. RNAcentral describes it as "partial 16S ribosomal RNA". It matches the Rfam family "Bacterial small subunit ribosomal RNA", at positions 74 to 334 of the family's 1533-position model. The record is from RNAcentral.
CAAACUAAAGAUGGCGACCGGCGCACGGGUGAGUAACACGUAUCCAACCUGCCGAUAACUCGGGGAUAGCCUUUCGAAAGAAAGAUUAAUAUCCGAUAGUAUAUUUUCUCCGCAUGGCGAGAAUAUUAAAGAAUUUCGGUUAUCGAUGGGGAUGCGUUCCAUUAGUUUGUUGGCGGGGUAACGGCCCACCAAGACUACGAUGGAUAGGGGUUCUGAGAGGAAGGUCCCCCACGUUGGAACUGAGACACGGUCCAA